This is a small nucleolar RNA of Impatiens glandulifera, 84 nucleotides long. RefSeq annotates it as small nucleolar RNA R38. The transcript has a single exon. The record is from RefSeq and is a predicted model, not a curated record. NCBI's taxonomy places the organism in Eukaryota, Viridiplantae, Streptophyta, Magnoliopsida, Ericales, Balsaminaceae.
UGUUGAGGAUGAUGAGACAUAAUAAUUCACAGUUAUCCCUGUCUGAGCAAGUAUUUGCUGAAUCCAAUGUGAUCUGACUCUCAA